Molecule: ribosomal RNA, 472 nt
Filed under: uncultured bacterium
Lineage: Bacteria
Description: bacterial SSU rRNA
Rfam family: Bacterial small subunit ribosomal RNA
Source: RNAcentral
ACUCCUACGGGAGGCAGCAGUGGGGAAUAUUGCACAAUGGGGGAAACCCUGAUGCAGCCAUGCCGCGUGUGUGAAGAAGGCCUUCGGGUUGUAAAGCACUUUCAGCAGUGAGGAAGGCAGGUACGUUAAUAGCGUGCUUGUUUGACGUUAGCUGCAGAAGAAGCACCGGCUAACUCCGUGCCAGCAGCCGCGGUAAUACGGAGGGUGCGAGCGUUAAUCGGAAUUACUGGGCGUAAAGCGCAUGCAGGUGGUUUGUUAAGUCAGAUGUGAAAGCCCGGGGCUCAACCUCGGAAUUGCAUUUGAAACUGGCAGACUAGAGUACUGUAGAGGGGGGUAGAAUUUCAGGUGUAGCGGUGAAAUGCGUAGAGAUCUGAAGGAAUACCGGUGCGAAGGCGGCCCCCUGGACAGAUACUGACACUCAGAUGCGAAAGCGUGGGGAGCAAACAGGAUUAGAUACCCUGGUAGGAUAGCG